UCACAAAAAAAAAACGUUUUCAGUUAUAAGGCUCUAAAAAUGUUACUGAAUGAUAAAUCAAUGGAUUUCCAGCAAAUAUUGAAAUAAUAAAGGUUCUCAAUGAAAUAUGUGCAGUGUCACAUGUUUAGUGUAAAUUGUCACAUGACCAGAGCUGUUUACUUCCUGGUUCCACCAUGAGAAGAGAAUGGCUGCAUCAAAGCUCCCAAACAAAAGUUUGACUUUGGGUCAAGUUCUGGAUAUGUUGGAUCUAGGUGACUGCCCAGACAAGGCAUGCAACAUUGCAGUUAUCCCUCAAAAUGAGAAAGAUGCUGUCCUCAGUGAUUGUGAUGGGUCAGAUAUGGAUGAAAGGCCAUUUGCCAGCCAGGUUGUUGAAUGUAUAUGCUGAACCUAUGCAAACAGAUCAUGACAGGAACAACGUUAUCAGUGAUGACCUACCCCUCACUAACCCUAACCCUGUUGAAGAUCAGGCAAGACAAAGCUUCUCACUGGCCAACCAACACAAUGCACCGGUUCCAGAGAUGUCGUCAUUGUGACAAACGCACUACAUACGCAUGUGAGAAAUGCAAAGCGCCACUGCACAUUGAGUGCUUCAAGAUAUACCACAGACAGUAGAAAAAUGAGAUAAGAGAGAAUGAAAAAGGGCUGAAAAAGACAAUAUAAGAAAAAUAGAAAAGUCGAUAAAGGGUGAGGAGAAGCAGUACAAAGGACUCCAGGAAGAAAAGAAAAGGAGACGAUCAAGACAAUCAAAAUGACUGAAAUGUUUUUGGAAAAGAAGGUCAAUUGAUUCAAGACAUAUUGUAUGACAGUAGAUCUGACUGAUCACAGUUCAAAGUAGUGACGCGCAAACUAAUCUUGCACUUGGUUCUGAAGCCUACCUCUAUGAUAUAUAUAUAUAUAUAAGCACUCAAUGUGCAGUGGGUUUUUUAUAUCUAUAAAUGUAUUUUGUUCAGUGUAGGUCUCUACUUGAAUGCAUGUCCUACAGGCUACCUCUAUCCUAAAUGUUACCUCUAUGUUCAAUGUGAAUGAAUCACACCACUGCUAUUCAGUUGUUAGUGAAUGUUGCACUAAAAUGUCACAAUGACAAUGUUACAAUGAAUAAGUUCAAAUGUUACAAUAAAGUUACAAUAUUUAUGUUUCAGUACAUGUUGCACUAAAGUAACAAUGUUACAAUGUAUGUUACAAUAAAAGUAACAAUGUUGAAAUA
This is a long non-coding RNA of Salmo salar (Atlantic salmon), 1204 nucleotides long. RefSeq lists it as uncharacterized. The record is from RefSeq and is a predicted model, not a curated record. NCBI's taxonomy places the organism in Eukaryota, Metazoa, Chordata, Actinopteri, Salmoniformes, Salmonidae.